UACGGGGGAUGCAAGCGUUAUCCGGAAUCAUUGGGCGUAAAGCGCCUGUAGGUUGUUUAAUAAGUCUGUUGUUAAAGCCUAGGGCUUAACCCUAGAAAAGCAAUGGAAACUACUAGACUAGAGUGUGGCAGGGGUAGAGGGAAUUUCUAGUGUAGCGGUGAAAUGCGUAGAUAUUAGAAAGAACACCGGCGGCGAAGGCGCUCUACUGGACCAUUACUGACACUGAGAGGCGAAAGCUAGGGUAGCAAAAGGG
This 253-nucleotide ribosomal RNA is filed under the name uncultured bacterium. RNAcentral describes it as "partial 16S ribosomal RNA". It matches the Rfam family "Bacterial small subunit ribosomal RNA", at positions 524 to 776 of the family's 1533-position model. The record is from RNAcentral.